UACGUAGGGUGCGAGCGUUGUCCGGAAUUAUUGGGCGUAAAGGGCUCGUAGGCGGUCUGUCGCGUCGGGAGUGAAAACUCAGGGCUUAACCCUGAGCCUGCUUCCGAUACGGGCAGACUAGAGGUAGGUAGGGGAGAAUGGAAUUCCCGGUGUAGCGGUGAAAUGCGCAGAUAUCGGGAGGAACACCGGUGGCGAAGGCGGUUCUCUGGGCCUUACCUGACGCUGAGGAGCGAAAGCGUGGGGAGCGAACAGG
This 253-nucleotide ribosomal RNA is filed under the name uncultured bacterium. RNAcentral's name for it is "partial 16S ribosomal RNA". It matches the Rfam family "Bacterial small subunit ribosomal RNA", at positions 524 to 776 of the family's 1533-position model. The record is from RNAcentral.